UUCCCUCUGAGCAGCUGCCUCUUCAGCAUAAAGAUCUUUAUUAUCCUGGGCUGAAAAUUCUUUGGAUUGCACCAGAAAGUCUCGAAUGUGAUUCUUAAACACGGAGAGGUCAUUUCUCGAGUCAAACAGUCCAUUCACAAAUUGAGUGACUUCUGCUGCAGUCAUGUUGGGGAAUGAAGAACUCAGCAGCUUGAUAGUGUACUCCCGAACAAAGGCCACGUUAUUUGGGUAUGGAUAAGUUACAGUUGCAGCAUCCCACAAAGGUUCUGUUAAUACACCAGACUCCGCCAAGCAAAACAAGUGUUGAAGGACCAAGACAUGCAACUUAAAUCCUGGCUUAUGAAAUGUGUCCGUCAAGACUGCAAAUAUUUCUUGCUCUAUGGUCAAGAAAUAUGUUCGAUAAAAUUGAUUGCAAAACUCGGAAGCCUGAAAAUUUUUUAGCAUCUCUAAUAGUAGAUUGAGCCCAGUUUCAGCAAUAUUCCUCUCUGUAUGCCGAAAUGCCCAUAUAAUUGAAUCCAUAACAAGCUUUAAUUG
Molecule: unclassified non-coding RNA, 534 nt
Filed under: Hevea brasiliensis (rubber tree)
Lineage: Eukaryota; Viridiplantae; Streptophyta; Magnoliopsida; Malpighiales; Euphorbiaceae
Source: RNAcentral